Manis pentadactyla (Chinese pangolin) is the source of this 1300-nucleotide long non-coding RNA. RefSeq lists it as uncharacterized. Lineage: Eukaryota; Metazoa; Chordata; Mammalia; Pholidota; Manidae. The transcript is spliced from 4 exons. The record is from RefSeq and is a predicted model, not a curated record.
GACAGAGCACAAAGACUGCAGAGUGGAAAAGAGAGGCCUAGGGGAUCACAAUAGAGGGUGAAUUUGAUUCCAAGUUUUCUGGGAAGCACAUGGAAGUGUUUUAAGCAAUAGACUAUCAGUGGAAUUUUAUUUUUCAAAGCUCUCUGCUGCUGGGUGCGGCUUGGGUCUGAAAAAGCAGGGGUGGAGACAGGGACUAAUGAGGCGGCUGAGCAGGAUAAUGGCGGAGGUCAGGGCGGGCGGCGGAGUCCAGGAAACCCAGGCAGUCUGAGCAUCCAUUGGAAAGGCAGUUAGCGUUCCUUACUCAUGUGUUAGGUGUGGCUGUCAACACCAGUGUUUUGGCUUGAGAACUGCGAAGACGGUGGUGCCCUUCACUGACUGGAGGGGGAAUGGACCGGCACAUGGAGGCCCUCACCCUUCUCUGUCUAAGCCCAUGGCCCCUGUCUCACCAGCAUGCAGAGGCCAGGCGGAGGGAGCUCAGAGAACACAGAAUGGAGAAGGGGGUCCAGUGGAAAUCACAGGCUGGUUUCCCGAGAUGGGACUAAAAACGGAGGACAUCUCACCUGAGGAGGAGUGAACGCCAGCCACAGGAACGCUAGAGCCUACACAGAUGGCCAGCGGAUUUGCACAGCCUCCUCCACUCACAGGCAGCCAAGGCCCUGACAUCUUGGAAACACUCAGAACAGCAUCUCAGCUCACCAGGAGGGAUAAUGUAAGUGACAGUAGGUGACCCGAGAGCUCUGCACAAAUUAUAGCUGGUGUGUGAACCCAACUUAGACUCUUGCACAUAGUCGGUGCUCAGAAAUCUCUGCUAAAAGGAAGGACAGGAUGGAGGGACGGAGGGAGAGAAAUUCGAGACCGGUGCCCAUCUGGACACUGGAUUGCUGCUGGGAUGUGGACAAAGCCUUUACCUACCUGAGCUUUCCCGCUUUUCCCCUUGUACCUGCAAACGAAAUUCUACUUGCUCAUGCUUCUUAUAAGGAAUAAAUGAAACAUGUGCAAAGCACAUUAGGCAGCUGAGUGUCUCAUUGCAGGUCUACAUAUCUGAAUUCUCUAGGCCAUCAAGGCCAUCCUGGAAGAAGGGAGGACUCAAUGCCUUCAGAAACAACUUGCCCACCCUCCCCUCUGUACAUGAACUUCCUUUUUACAUCAACCCUUAAUGCUAUAAGGUUCUGUACAAAUUAAUAAAGAUUUAUGGUCAGCUAGCUUGAUGAAUCUACUGAGCCCAGUGAAGAGAGUUAUGUCCACGGCAGGUGAACAGGUGGGGUGAAGUCACAUCAGACUCUGGAGGUUCCAGGCAGAC